CCUACGGGUGGCAGCAGUCGAGAAUCAUUCACAAUGGGGGAAACCCUGAUGGUGCGACGCCGCGUGGGGGAAUGAAGGUCUUCGGAUUGUAAACCUCUGUCAUGUGGGAGCAAAUUAAAAAGAUAGUACCACAAGAGGAAGAGACGGCUAACUCUGUGCCAGCAGCCGCGGUAAUACAGAGGUCUCAAGCGUUGUUCGGAAUCACUGGGCGUAAGGCGUGCGUAGGCUGUUUCGUAAGUCGUGUGUGAAAGGCGCGGGCUCAACCCGCGGACGGCACAUGAUACUGCGAGACUAGAGUAAUGGAGGGGGAACCGGAAUUCUCGGUGUAGCAGUGAAAUGCGUAGAUAUCGAGAGGAACACUCGUGGCGAAGGCGGGUUCCUGGACAUUAACUGACGCUGAGGCACGAAGGCCAGGGGAGCGAAAGGGAUUAGAUACCCCUGUAGUC
Molecule: ribosomal RNA, 446 nt
Filed under: uncultured bacterium
Lineage: Bacteria
Description: partial 16S ribosomal RNA
Rfam family: Bacterial small subunit ribosomal RNA
Source: RNAcentral